This 26-nucleotide non-coding RNA is filed under the name Cricetulus griseus (Chinese hamster). Lineage: Eukaryota; Metazoa; Chordata; Mammalia; Rodentia; Cricetidae. The record is from RNAcentral.
UUUGCAGGUCGCAGCCCGUUGUUUAG